RNAcentral lists this ribosomal RNA (462 nucleotides) under uncultured bacterium. RNAcentral describes it as "partial 16S ribosomal RNA". It matches the Rfam family "Bacterial small subunit ribosomal RNA", at positions 28 to 507 of the family's 1533-position model. The record is from RNAcentral.
GACGAACGCUGGCGGCGUGCUUAACACAUGCAAGUCGAACGGAAAGGCCCUUCGGGGUACUCGAGUGGCGAACGGGUGCGUAACACGUGGGUGAUCUGCCCUGCACUUUGGGAUAAGCCUGGGAAACUGGGUCUAAUACCGAAUAGGACCACGCGCUUCAUGGUGUGUGGGGGAAAGCUUUUGCGGUGUGGGAUGGGCCCGCGGCCUAUCAGCUUGUUGGUGGGGUAAUGGCCUACCAAGGCGACGACGGGUAGCCGGCCUGAGAGGGUGACCGGCCACACUGGGACUGAGAUACGGCCCAGACUCCUACGGGAGGCAGCAGUGGGGAAUAUUGCACAAUGGGCGCAAGCCUGAUGCAGCGACGCCGCGUGAGGGAUGACGGCCUUCGGGUUGUAAACCUCUUUCAAUAGGGACGAAGCGCAAGUGACGGUACCUAUAGAAGAAGCACCGGCCAACUACGUG